UUACAGGUGGCUCAGAUGGUAAAGCAUCUGCCUGCAAUGCAGGAGACCCAGUUUCAAUCCCUGGGUUGGGAA
Molecule: non-coding RNA, 72 nt
Organism: Bos taurus (domestic cattle)
Lineage: Eukaryota; Metazoa; Chordata; Mammalia; Artiodactyla; Bovidae
Source: Rfam